AAUAACCAAAGUGUUAUUUGUAUCAGAUUGCUCCAACUGGUGGAAGAUGACUGGAUCUUCAUGUACCAUUAACAGUCACUGGUCCCAUAAAGCAGUGUACUGGUGUGAGUCUGUAUCAGGAGAGUUCAGCAAUGCAGUCAACAUCAGCAUAAAUGAUGAAGAUCUUCUCCUGGUGAGCCCCGUCCAUCCUGUGACUGAAGGAGCUUCUGUUACUCUGAGCUGCAGACUGAGAGGA
Long non-coding RNA from Xiphophorus hellerii (green swordtail), 235 nucleotides. RefSeq lists it as uncharacterized. Lineage: Eukaryota; Metazoa; Chordata; Actinopteri; Cyprinodontiformes; Poeciliidae. The record is from RefSeq and is a predicted model, not a curated record. The transcript is spliced from 2 exons.